ACCGCAUCCAUGUCCUCAUUAACUGCAGGCUUGUCCGCUUGUCUCUGUCCGGCUGUUUGUCCAACAUGCUUUGCUUGUGAAAUCAAGGAAAUAAUUACCAUUGCUUCAACAUGUGGGUCAGCGGCCUGUCUAAUGAAUCGGACCAGCUGUUGAAAGACAUUUAAAAAAAAAGAACAUUUGAUAUUAGAAUAAAACAGACCCAAAUCUGCUUUCAGGAACUGUUGUUGUCCCAGGAGGCAUGACACCAAUCCUCCAGUGUAUUGGAGAAGCUGUCCUGUCCCACCAAAAUCUAUGGUCACGAGAAGUUGCCAGAUGUACCACCCUUAAGGUGUACCACCCAAAUAACCAGCAUUUUUAUCCUGAACGGUGCAGUUUUGUUCACUCUUCUGAAGAGAAAGGAGCCUAAGUUUGUCUGCUGAUGUGUCAAAAUGUGGUUUGUCAUUACAUAAAUGUCAUCAGGAUUCAAUAAAGCAGUGGGAAGCUAUGUCAACAAAACUACCCACGAUUUCACUGGAAUCAAAGGGGGGUGGAAAAAAAAAAAGCCCUUUUAGUGUGGGCAUAGAUCAGCCUUUAUGUUUUUCCUAGAGCAGAGGUUCCAACUUGCUUAUAAAAGUUCAUCAGAAUGAAUUCAAGAGGUAAUAUGAGGGACUAGGCAUGUCAGAAUCAAUUUGCAGUCCUGCAGGAUGGCGGGAUCUCAAGGAACAGCGUUGGGGAGUACUCUAGGUUAAGAUCUUGUCAAAUGGGAAUACCAGAACCUUUCGAACUUCAUCCAAGUCGGCCUUAAAACUGCAAAUCCGUACAAGCCAUGUUGGAUUUGGAAAAGGUCAGCAAGUCCUCGAUGAGCAUGAAAAACCCGACUUGUUCUUUCAGCAUGAUGAAAGAAGACGACGACGAUGAUGAGAUCAUUCAGCACCCACCAGGUCUCAGUGAAUGACUUAGCGUUUGAGUUUAUACAGCGCAUACGGAGGUGCGUUGUCUCACUGAUGAUUUAUAGUUGGUAAAACACCUACACAACAUGUUGUAUGUAAUGGCGUGGGUGGUCAAUAAUAUUAUUUCAGAAUAUUAGACAUUACCUACGGACACUUAUGUCAUAUAGUGAGAAGGUCAUUUUGAUGUUCAACUUGCUGUGCUUUUCUUAGAGCCUUUGAGAUUUGUAAUGAGUUCUUUGCAGGUCAAAUUAAAAAAGUAAAAGAGAAAAGUUAAAUUUU
Long non-coding RNA from Ictalurus punctatus (channel catfish), 1208 nucleotides. NCBI's taxonomy places the organism in Eukaryota, Metazoa, Chordata, Actinopteri, Siluriformes, Ictaluridae. The record is from Ensembl.